CCUACGGGCGGCAGCAGUGAGGAAUAUUUGUCAAUGGGCGCGAGCCUGAACCAGCCAAGUCGCGUGAGGGAAGACGGUCCUAUGGAUUGUAAACCUCUUUUGUCGGGGAGCAAAAGACGCCACGCGUGGCGUUCCGAGAUUACCCGAAGAAAAAGCAUCGGCUAACUCCGUGCCAGCAGCCGCGGUAAUACGGAGGAUGCGGGCGUUAUCCGGAUUUAUGGGGUUUAAAGGGUGGGCAGGCGGAAGUUCAAGUCAGCGGUAAAAGUGCGGGGCGCAACCGCUUCGAGCCGUUGAUACUGGUUUGCUUGAGUGAGUGAGAAGUAUGAGGAAUGCGUGGUGUAGCGGUGAAAUGCAUAGAUAUCACGCAGAACGCCGAUUGCGAAGGCAGCAUACCGGCGCUCAACUGACGCUGAUGCACGAAAGUGUGGGUAUCGAACAGGAUUAGAUACCCCAGUAGUC
Molecule: ribosomal RNA, 459 nt
Filed under: uncultured bacterium
Lineage: Bacteria
Description: partial 16S ribosomal RNA
Rfam family: Bacterial small subunit ribosomal RNA
Source: RNAcentral